ACUGCGAGUGAAGCGGGAAAAGCUCAAAUUUAAAAUCUGGCGGUCCUUGUGGCCGUCCGAGUUGUAAUUUAGAGAAGUGUUAUCCGCGCUGGACCGUGUACAAGUCUCCUGGAAUGGAGCGUCAUAGAGGGUGAGAAUCCCGUCUUUGACACGGACUGCCAGGGCAUUGUGAUGCGCUCUCAAAGAGUCGAGUUGUUUGGGAAUGCAGCUCAAAAUGGGUGGUAAAUUCCAUCUAAAGCUAAAUAUUGAGGAGAGACCGAUAGCGAACAAGUACCGUGAGGGAAAGAUGAAAAGAACUUUGGAAAGAGAGUUAAACAGUACGUGAAAUUGCUGAAAGGGAAACGCUUGAAGUCAGUCGCGUCGCUCAGGACUCAGCCUUGCUUUGCUUGGUGUACUUCCUGUUCGAUGGGUCAGCAUCAAUUUUGGUCGGUGGAAAAAGGCUCAGAGAAUGUGGCAUCUUCGGGUGUGUUAUAGCUCUGGGUCGCAUACAUCGGCUGGGAUUGAGGAACUCAGCACGCCGCAAGGCCGGGUACUUGUACCACGUACGUGCUUAGGAUGCUGGCAUAAUGGCUUUAAUCGACCCGUCUUGAAACACGGACCAAGGAGUCUAACAUGCCUGCGAGUGUUUGGGUGGAAAACCCGAGCGCGUAAUGAAAGUGAAAGUUGAGAUCCCUGUCGUGGGGAGCAUCGACGCCCGGAGCAGACCUUUUGUGACGCAUCCGCGGUAGAGCAUGUAUGUUGGGACCCGAAAGAUGGUGAACUAUGCCUGAAUAGGGUGAAGCCAGAGGAAACUCUGGUGGAGGCUCGUAGCGAU
RNAcentral lists this ribosomal RNA (814 nucleotides) under Mycena bulliformis. RNAcentral's name for it is "eukaryotic LSU rRNA". It matches the Rfam family "Eukaryotic large subunit ribosomal RNA", at positions 86 to 884 of the family's 3401-position model. Lineage: Eukaryota; Fungi; Basidiomycota; Agaricomycetes; Agaricales; Mycenaceae. The record is from RNAcentral.